RNAcentral lists this ribosomal RNA (207 nucleotides) under uncultured bacterium. Its description in RNAcentral is "partial 16S ribosomal RNA". It matches the Rfam family "Bacterial small subunit ribosomal RNA", at positions 568 to 774 of the family's 1533-position model. The record is from RNAcentral.
CACGUAGGCGGAUAUUUAAGUCAGGGGUGAAAUCCCAGAGCUCAACUCUGGAACUGCCUUCGAUACUGGGUAUCUUGAGUAUGGAAGAGGUAAGUGGAAUUCCGAGUGUAGAGGUGAAAUUCGUAGAUAUUCGGAGGAACACCAGUGGCGAAGGCGGCUUACUGGUCCAUUACUGACGCUGAGGUGCGAAAGCGUGGGGAGCAAACA